This 497-nucleotide ribosomal RNA is filed under the name uncultured bacterium. Its description in RNAcentral is "partial 16S ribosomal RNA". It matches the Rfam family "Bacterial small subunit ribosomal RNA", at positions 28 to 507 of the family's 1533-position model. The record is from RNAcentral.
GAUGAACGCUGGCGGCGUGCCUAAUACAUGCAAGUCGAGCGAACGGACGAGAAGCUUGCUUCUCUGAUGUUAGCGGCGGACGGGUGAGUAACACGUGGAUAACCUACCUAUAAGACUGGGAUAACUUCGGGAAACCGGAGCUAAUACCGGAUGAUAUUUUGAACCGCAUGGUUCAAAAGUGAAAGACGGUCUUGCUGUCACUUAUAGAUGGAUCCGCGCUGCAUUAGCUAGUUGGUAAGGUAACGGCUUACCAAGGCAACGAUGCAUAGCCGACCUGAGAGGGUGAUCGGCCACACUGGAACUGAGACACGGUCCGGACUCCUACGGGAGGCAGCAGUAGGGAAUCUUCCGCAAUGGGCGAAAGCCUGACGGAGCAACGCCGCGUGAGUGAUGAAGGUCUUCGGAUCGUAAAACUCUGUUAUUAGGGAAGAACAUAUGUGUAAGUAACUGUGCACAUCUUGACGGUACCUAAUCAGAAAGCCACGGCUAACUACGUG